RNAcentral lists this ribosomal RNA (253 nucleotides) under uncultured bacterium. RNAcentral's name for it is "partial 16S ribosomal RNA". It matches the Rfam family "Bacterial small subunit ribosomal RNA", at positions 524 to 776 of the family's 1533-position model. The record is from RNAcentral.
UACGGAGGGGGCAAACGUUGCUCGGAAUUAUUGGGCGUAAAGCGCACGUAGGCGGUCCAGCAAGUCGGGUGUGAAAGCCCUCGGCUUAACCGAGGAAGUGCAUUCGAAACUACAGGACUUGAAUACUGGAGAGGAUCGCGGAAUUCCCGGUGUAGAGGUGAAAUUCGUAGAUAUCGGGAGGAACACCAGUGGCGAAGGCGGCGAUCUGGGAAGAUACUGACGCUGAGGUGCGAAAGCGUGGGGAGCAAACAGG